GCCGGGCAUGGUAGUGCAUGCCUGUAAUCCUAGCUACUCAGGAGGCUGAGGCAGGAGGAUCUCGAGUUCAAUGCCAGCCUCAGCAAAAGUGAGGCAAACCUAAGCAACUCAGUGAGAUCCUGUCUCUA
RNAcentral lists this small RNA (128 nucleotides) under Marmota monax (woodchuck). The record is from RNAcentral. Lineage: Eukaryota; Metazoa; Chordata; Mammalia; Rodentia; Sciuridae.